GCGCGAAACCUCUGCAAUGCGCGAAAGCGUGACAGGGGAACUCUGCGUGCUACACUUUUAGUGUAGCUUUUUACAAUCUUAAGACGAUUGUAGAAUAAGGGCUGGGCAAGACUAGUGCCAGCCGCCGCGGUAACACUAGCGGCCCGAGUGGUGUCCACGAAUAUUGGGUCUAAAGAGCCCGUAGCUGGUCCGUUAAGUUUCCUGUGAAAUUUCAGGGCUCAACUCUGAAGCGUGCAGGAAAUACUGGCGUGACUUGAGAGCGGGGGAGGUCUAGAGUACUCAUGGGGUAACGGUAAAAUGUUGUAAUCCUAUGAGGACUUCCAGUGGCGAAGGCGCUAGACCAAAACGCGUCUGACGGUGAGGGACGAAGGCUAGGAGAACGAAUCGG
RNAcentral lists this ribosomal RNA (388 nucleotides) under uncultured bacterium. RNAcentral's name for it is "bacterial SSU rRNA". It matches the Rfam family "Archaeal small subunit ribosomal RNA", at positions 339 to 727 of the family's 1478-position model. The record is from RNAcentral.